Molecule: ribosomal RNA, 69 nt
Filed under: Clostridium saudiense
Lineage: Bacteria; Bacillati; Bacillota; Clostridia; Eubacteriales; Clostridiaceae
Description: partial 23S ribosomal RNA
Source: RNAcentral
GGUCAGAGGUGUAAGUGCGGUAACGUAUUUAGCUGACUGAUACUAAUAGGUCGAGGGCUUGACCAAUAA